UACAGAGGGGGCAAGCGUUGUUCGGAAUUACUGGGCGUAAAGGGCGCGUAGGCGGCCUGCUAAGUCGAACGUGAAAUCCCUGGGCUCAACCCAGGAACUGCGUCCGGUACUGGUUGGCUUGAAUCCGGGAGAGGGAUGUGGAAUUCCAGGUGUAGCGGUGAAAUGCGUAGAUAUCUGGAGGAACACCGGUGGCGAAGGCGACAUCCUGGACCGGUAUUGACGCUGAGGCGCGAAAGCCAGGGGAGCAAACGGG
Molecule: ribosomal RNA, 253 nt
Filed under: uncultured bacterium
Lineage: Bacteria
Description: partial 16S ribosomal RNA
Rfam family: Bacterial small subunit ribosomal RNA
Source: RNAcentral